CGCCUCACCGCGUGCACUGGUCCGGCCGGGCCUUUCCUCCUGGGGAGCCGCAUGCCCUUCACUGGGUGUGUCGGGGAACCAGGACUUUUACUUUGAAAAAAUUAGAGUGUUCAAAGCAGGCCUAUGCUCGAAUACAUUAGCAUGGAAUAAUAGAAUAGGACGUGUGGUUCUAUUUUGUUGGUUUCUAGGACCGCCGUAAUGAUUAAUAGGGAUAGUCGGGGGCAUCAGUAUUCAAUUGU
Molecule: ribosomal RNA, 239 nt
Filed under: uncultured fungus
Lineage: Eukaryota; Fungi
Description: partial 18S ribosomal RNA
Rfam family: Eukaryotic small subunit ribosomal RNA (bases 74-239)
Source: RNAcentral